UGAGAACCAUGUCUGAUCAGAG
This 22-nucleotide microRNA is filed under the name Canis lupus familiaris (dog). RNAcentral's name for it is "cfa-miR-589". Its record names the gene cfa-miR-589. The record is from miRBase by way of RNAcentral. Lineage: Eukaryota; Metazoa; Chordata; Mammalia; Carnivora; Canidae.